AGAAUGACAAAUAUUGCAUAUUCUCACUCAUUUGUGGGAGCUAAAAAGUCUGAUCUCAGUAAGGUAGAGAGUAGAAUGAUGGUUAACAGAGGCUGGGAAGGAGGCAGGAUGAAGAUAGAUAUUGGUUAAUGGGUGCACAUGUAGAGUUAUAUAGAAGCGAUAAGUUCUAGUGUUCAAUAGCACACAAGAGUGAUUAUACUUAGCAAUAAUUUAUUGCCUAUUUCAAAAUAUUCAGAAGAAAAGACUUAAAAUGUCCCCAACACAUACACACGAAAUAAAUGUUGGAGGUAGUGGAUAUCCUAAUUACCAUGAUUUGGCCAUUAUGCAUUGUAUGCAUGCGUCGAAACAUCACAUGAACCCCAUAAAUAUGUACAAUCAAUAUGGGUCAAUGAAGAGGUCAUUGAUGGUGACAAUAAUCACUUUGCUAGAGUUAAAACUGUACUAGUGAUCAGGCACCCAGUAAGGCCAAAUCCGUUUACUCUGGCCUUCACUUCAACCUUCGUGUCUCAGGGACAUGGCUGGCACUGCACAAGAUGUUACUGUCUAUAGAAUGGGAGGAGCAGAAAGCCUAUAUUUAUGAUUUUUAUAUAAUUGCAACAG
Molecule: long non-coding RNA, 600 nt
Filed under: Homo sapiens (human)
Lineage: Eukaryota; Metazoa; Chordata; Mammalia; Primates; Hominidae
Description: non-protein coding lnc-PRIM2-12:1
Source: RNAcentral